Long non-coding RNA from Oreochromis niloticus (Nile tilapia), 4686 nucleotides. RefSeq lists it as uncharacterized. The transcript has 2 exons. The record is from RefSeq and is a predicted model, not a curated record. Lineage: Eukaryota; Metazoa; Chordata; Actinopteri; Cichliformes; Cichlidae.
UCUGAAAGAGACACAGCUGAGGUAUUUGUUUCUGCAGAUCUUAUGUUAAUAUGACGUUUUACUAAGUUAUUGCAUUUAUUACCAAGUUGAUUUAUUGUUACUUUGUUAUAACUCGUGUUUGAAAUAUGUUGUUUUUUUCAUUCAAGCAUCACAAUAAUUCAGUUGCAGAUUCAGCUAAAUGCUUACAGUAAAUGGCCGCUGUAUUAGGCAAACCUCCUUAUCUACUCAUUAAAACAGUUCUGACAUGCUGAAGCUUCAAAUCAGGCAUCAAAAUAGGGAAGAAACGUGACUUUGAAUGUGGCUUGGUGCCAUAUGGGCUGGUCUGAAUAUCUGAGGUUGUAUUGAGAAUUUCCCAAACAACUUUCUCUUUACUGAAUGUUUACUGAAUAGUCUGAAAAUGGGGAAAAAAAUUCUGUGUUCAGGAGUUCUCUGUCGCUCACAGAGGUUAAAGUGUCUUGCCAGAGCAGAGUGGCCAUGCUGUUUCGAGCUGACAGGAAGGCACAAUCCAGACAAUCCAAAUAAUCACUUGUUACAACAAAGGUAUGAAGAAGAGCACGUUGAACCUUAAAGGAGAUUGACUACAACAGCAGAAGACCACACCGGGUGCCACUCCUGUCAGCUAAGUGCAGCGCCGUGGUUAGCUGAUACUAACAGGAAACUGAAGUUGCAGCUCACACCUGCUCACCAGAAUUGGACAGCGGAAGAUUGGAAAAACAUUGACCGGUCUGAUUGAUGGAGGUGGUGUAAUGGUGUGAGGGAUAUUUUCGGACACACUUUGGCCUCAAUACUAGUUGAGCAUUGUUCAAAACACCACAGCCUACCUGAGAAUUGGUGCUGACCAUGUCCGUCCCUUUAUGACCACACCGUAUCCAUCUUCUGAUGGCUGCUUCCAACAGGAUAACGCCCCAUGUUAUAAAGCUCAGAUCAUCUCAAACUGGUUUCUUGAACACAGGUUUGUCGCUAGCCAUGGGUGUUCGGGGCUCUACUUCCAGAUGUUUUUUCAGUACCCUCCGAUCUCCCGACUGAAUGAAAUUUUUUUUAGAGGAAGCCUGUAUUUAGGCAUCUGUUUGCCGCAGUUUAUCUGGGGCGAAGUCCCACUCCCAUCUCUGUCCGACCAAUCACAGCAGAGCAUUCCUCCUUUAGGUCCAACGUCAGCACCUGUUAGCUGUCACUGCUGAUUGGUCUGGAUCUGACAAACUGGUGGUUGCUAACCAGUUAAAGCAAGGCAUGAAAUGGCCACUGCAUCAGAUACAAACUCAGGUCGGUGAAUUGGUGAAGUGCUUCUGACGCGUUCAUUGCUACAAGUCAUGGUUGCCAUCUGUUUCUCACACACUGAGUCAACGAUUCACACAUAUUCCUCACAAUCUGUCUGACCUUCAUUUUCUCACUUAGGCCUAAUCUGAAAAAAAAUAAAUAAUAAUAAUUCAUCAUAACAAAGUUAUUUAGACCAUCAAGAGAAACCUGAGAAAAAUACAAAUAAAUCUAUUGAUUCUUAAAAUCAUUCAUGCUGCUCAAAGUAAUGCCAGGUCUAAACAGCAGCACAGCCUCUUAUGCUUUCUCCUCUCAAACUGCACACGCAGUUGACAAUGAGUAACCAUGGCUACAGUGAGUAACCAUGAUGACAGGGAGACGCUCUGUACCUCGCUCUGAAACACUCAUUCCCAUUCCCAAUAAAAGAGCUCAGGUUAUUAUGGCCAUUUAAAUUGAAGAAUGCACGUCAGUGCUGAAACCUUGUAAAAACAUACUGUGUAUGUUAGUAGUCAGUUAUGUUUUUUCUAUAGGAAUCAUAUCAGAGAGGCAAAGAAAUGAACUCUUCAUUUGAGUGCAUUUGUGUAAUUUACUGUUCCAAGAUAUGCAUGUCUUUGUAUACGAAGUCUGCCACAAACAAGUUGACUUAGGUCUGUGUACAAUGUUAGGUCCCACAUUCACUGUGGAUUCAUAAAUGAAAUAAAGGAAAUGUAGAAAUAUAGAGAGCGAUGACAAAAAUAGCAUGAAAGAGGCGUGAUUGUUAAAACACUGUGUGCCUGUAAACACAGACAUCAUUAGGUGGAGAGGGCACAGAAUGCCAUAGAAAUAAAUAUCCUGCAGGACACUGAGUGAUGCACGUCAUGUCUGCCCGCAUUAACCCCUUAAGGCCUAGAGUAUCAUAUUUGAUACAUGGGUUUUGUCAGUUUUGGAGACUUCUGCAUCAUCAGUGUGAUUUUUUCCCCCCUAGUUAAAUUACACAGUACAUUUUUAACAAAUAAAAAAAAACCUUGCCAUGUUUUUGGUGAGGUUUUUUUCCCCACAAUCCUGAUAAGGAUAGGCAGAAGAUAAUGGAUGUACGGAUAUAGAAAAUACAAUAAAAAUUAAAACUCAUAUAUGCAAAUGAAUAUUUAAUUCAAACAAAUUCAAAAAAUGUGAUUUGGGCUAUAAAUCAUAAAUAUUGUAACUGUCACUUAGUAGUGACUUGGAUAACUAUUUAGCUUUUGAUGACAAGAAAAUUUGCUUAUUCUGCAUUUUGAUAUUUGUUGAAUGAUAAAUACAGUGUUUGAGUCCACGUAUAAAGGAAGUUUAUACAUAACGAGUUAAUAACCUAAUCGUCAGAUCAAAAUUGGGUGGCACCUGCUGACUGUUUUCUUUUUACAACCAGGACAUGAAAGCGAGGGGGAGAGAGCAGAAGGGGGUUAAGAGUGGAGCAGGUUCAUUAGACAACAAAAGAGCAGAAAGGUGAAAAGAAAAGAAAAGGACGGAUGAAACAAGCUUUCUAACUAAAUAGUGACACAGUAUGGUCUCACAACUAACUACUUUACUUUAAUGUUACAUUUUUUAAAGGUUUUAUACUGCUGCUUAAAGUUAAAAAAUGGUGAGGAACUCAAAUUGCACUGAUUAUUUAUUUCAGUGUCAUCCUGUGACAUUUUAGUCUUUGGCAUAUAUUAAUUUUUUUUUUGAAAUUUAGUAAAUAGCUUUAAGAGUGGCAGUGUUAUUGAGUGAAAAUUCAAAAGCCUUUGACGCCGGCCUAAGCCCCCAGUGUUACAAGAGCCUAGCAAUGCUCUUGAACAUAACAAUGAGUUCACUGAACUCAAAUGGCCUCUGCAGUCACCAGAUUUCAAGCCAAUAGAGCACCUUUGGAACCUCUGUGGUGAAAUGAGAAAUUUGCAUUCUGGAUGUGCCACCGACAUAUCUGCAGCAACUGUGUGAUUCUAUCAGGCCAAUACAGACUGAAAUCUGAGAGCAAUGUUUCCACCAGCAUGUCGAAUCUGUGCCCUGUUGAAUUAAGGCAGUGCUGAGGGCAACAGGGGAUCUAAAACAAUACUAACAAGAGCUACGCAACAAAGUAUAUUUUAUUACUCAAAUUAAAAAGAUUCAUUGCUUUACUGUAGAAAUAUUUUUUUGCCAACAGCCAUAAUUGUAGAAUCAAUAUUAUAUUUUAUUAAAUAUGUGUUGUAGGAUAGGAUAGGGUCAAUCAUUGAUGACAUAUUUCCUUUCGUUCGCAGGCCAUAAAAUACUACUGUUUAUUACACACAAGGCGUCCUUGGGUGUAAAGCAGCGAUGCGUGUGUUAUGGCAAUAGUGACAGGAGUUUCACUCCUAACUAGUAUUUCAAAUCAAACCACAACCUUUCUGUAAACCUAACCGAAAUGAAAAUUAAACUGUAAGUGAAAGAGGACACAAACCACAGCUUCUGUCAUGAUUGAUUGGUCUGUAUUAGAAACAGAGGCUUCAGCUUUAUUAUAGCCAAACACGUUUUAUAACCGUCAGUUGCAAAUUUACAGUGAUUUACAAACCAGCUAUUGACCAAACAGUAAGCAGCAAUAAUAAUGACUGUUGUAAUACACUGUUAACUAAAGUUUAAUUAGCGAUUCAUUUUUAUUAACAGUGGCAUUAUAAAGUGUUACGAAGUCUUUUUGCAUUUAGGAAAAUCUGCUGCGUUACCACACAGAUUUGAAAAUGGAUCAGAAUCAUUAUUGCAAAUCUGCACAGUGGAUGAAUGUGGCAUACGAGAAUAUUUGAAGAAGCAGUUAAUGGUAAACACGGAGUAAUUAUCUGGUAUUUAUUAGCAUAUUUUUUAGAAUUCAUGAGAUUGAUUUAUCCCAGCUUUUAUUAAGAAAUGAAAAACUAUGUAUUUAAUUAAAAAUUUGGGAUUUAGGAGGUGUUGCAAUGCUUUACCAACCGUGGCUCUUAUUGUAGUGGUUUACACAUUUGCCUACCAAACAAAAGAUCUCUAGUUUUUUUUCCUGGAAGGAGACAGAAGUUUCUUUGUGGUUGCAUGAGGAAGAAAACUCUGCCAAAUCAAACAUGUGGAGCUACCCACUGUGGCAAUCCCUGGAGAAUAAGAGAGCAGCUGAAUGUAGCUAAAGAAACUUCUUUUUCUGUAAUGUUUUACUAACUCUUGGUUAUUGGCAAACCCCUCCCCCAGCCAGAUGAGCAAAUCACAUCCCAGCAAUACUUGCAAAUCCUGUUGAUGGUUUUAAACUGUAAUCUGAUGUCAUGAGACAUGGGAUGACAUGAGAAUGCAGACAGCCCAGAAAAGAUGAGCUGACUGCUUCAACCAGUUUAACUGGUUCCUGUUGAAUUUGUUUUCCCCUGGGUCUAUCUGCUCAGUAUUAGCUACUCAAACUUGUUGCAAUACACUGUCUAUUAGAUGAAUUUGUGCACCUGUUAAUUUAACUAGAAAUAAUUAAUUGCAUCUUCCUUCAAAAAUCAA